Molecule: non-coding RNA, 99 nt
Organism: Trichonephila clavata
Lineage: Eukaryota; Metazoa; Arthropoda; Arachnida; Araneae; Nephilidae
Source: the annotation of a GenBank genome assembly
AUGCUGAAAACACCAGUUCUCAUCCGAUCACACAAGUUAAGCAUCACCAGCCAUGGUCAGUACUUGGAAGGGUAACCAGGUGGGAACUCCACGUAACGU